Long non-coding RNA from Uranotaenia lowii, 2057 nucleotides. RefSeq lists it as uncharacterized. The transcript has 4 exons. The record is from RefSeq and is a predicted model, not a curated record. NCBI's taxonomy places the organism in Eukaryota, Metazoa, Arthropoda, Insecta, Diptera, Culicidae.
UUUACUAAAGUAGUAGUGAUACUUUGUGCUGUUUCUACGAGCUCACUACUACAAACAAUAUUAUAGCGCCAGCACUAAAUUUUACUUCGGAAGUCCGGACUUCCGAUCCCGAACUUACUUCCGAACUUUUGACAGUUGUGUUUAAAAAAAAAACAGUGUAUUAUAUGCAACGUUGCCACACAUAAAUUUGUAUCCACCAGAUUAUCUCUACAUACAUUAAGCGGGCCACAGACUACACAACAUUAUGUGAAUUUGAAAACAGAAAAUUUCUUGGCGCACGCUUAAAUAAAACGACUCAAUAUGUUUUCGUCGGAAGUCAGCCAUGAUGCCAGUUCACCAACGACGUUUAUAAAAUUUUUAUCUAAACGCACAAUAUACAUUCCGCCAAUCAUAGCAGUAGUUUCAUUGCCACAGUUCAUUCACAUUCUCAUCCGCCGUCCAAGUAUGCGUUGUUCAAAGCAUACACAUUUUUUGCCAACAAGGAAUGAUAAGUCUGUUCAUUGAUUUUAUACUAUAGCAUCUAUCUACCACACCUGGCAGCCCAGCCCAUCAAAAAGAAAACGUCAAAAAGAGCGAGUCGAGCAUUUUUUUGUUUUGAUUUGGUUAUUUAUUGUUUUGUGCCGAUGCAACUCCGCAGGAAAAGAGAUUAUUUACCGGAUUUACCCGUUUUUUUCUUGUCGGUCGCGUUUCGGAGGACAACAAAGUAUCUGCAGCAGCGGCAAAAAGUAAGGUGCGAAUCAAAAAGUACGUCGGAUACUUUUUCGCAAGCAGCAAAAUCUGUUUUGAUCCUGUUAAAACAAUGGCCUGUACGAGUUCACCAGCUGUCGACCGCUAGUAACAGUUCCGUGGUUGUGGCCUGAGCUGGAGAGCAUCGGGAACAUGCAUCUAUUGGAAUCGGGGCCUGCAUCAAGCGAAAAAAAACUUGAUCUUCCAGAUUCUGCUACGGGAACUUUUCGAGUUUGUACCAUCAGCGAGUUUUAUUCAUUGGCAUGGUUUAGCAACACGUAGACAUUGCGCUUGUUGCACUACCGACCGGGGGAUGACGACCGGAAUCUCGGAACAGCAAAAAAAAAAAUCAUUACCCAGACUACCUAUUACUUUCUGAGGAGCACCAGCAACAUGUUCUGAUGAUCGUCAACCAGGUGAAGCUGACAUUAUCUAAAAUGCAUGGGGGUGAGUUUUCUUUAAAUAUUUUAUUUUUACUCCAGAAAUAUAAUCCCUUCUUUCGAUCACAGGCAGCAGCUACGGUCGGACCAGGUAAUGAUUUUUCCGUUUUUCAAGUACCGCACAUCUACGAGACAUUGGCUGGCACACGUGGGUCAGAACAAUAUCGCUCCGAUUGCAUCGGUUGCUCUGUGAUCCAACAUUGUUUAAAAAACGACUGUAACAACAUGAGCAACAUAUAACACCCCACCUGCUGUAUCUGACGCUUAGCCAUCAUUUGAAAAUGCUGACAAUCGAUCCAUCUUCAUAGUGACGGUAUCACAUAAAGGUUUUAUUUGAACCAAUAUAUCCUGUCUAUUAAACACCGGGAUUAAUUUUGGCUGCUGGAAGUAAAUCGAAGCGAUUGUUUCAGGUGGCAUCAACCAAAAAAGUGUGAUCAGAAGUACCACUAGAUCUUGUAAAUGCGCAAUCUGCGCAUGAUUCCUGUAUGGAACAUUUUACGGAUCAUUGGUUCGAAAAUCAUAACUCUCGAACCAUGAGAUUAAGAAGUUUUCCAUUGAUUCUCGGGAUCGUGCACCGUACAAACGGCACCACACCAGUAGCAAAACUGUUGGCGUAACUACGAAAAACAAGUUGCCAUGCGACUAAACAUAAAACCGAUGACGAGGAAUGACAACUGGUAAUUUCAAAGGAGGAGUCGAGCUGUGGCGUUUUGCUGCUGAAUCCAGCAACUUGUACACCAACAAUGCCAGUCUGCCAACAUUCAGAGAUGUAGGCUGUCUAUUUCACUAUUGACAGUAUUUCAGUUUUUUUUAUUUCGAAAUUAAUAACUACCGAAGCUUAAAACCCCUGAUAAAAUGAGGAAAAAUUAAUAGUCCAUUUCCAAUCGCUUG